CCUACUGGAGACAUCAUUGAGGCAUCUUGGUCAAUGGGCGCGAGCCUGAACCAGCCAAGUAGCGUGAAGUCUUCCUUCCCUCCUUUUUUUCCCCUUCUUUUCUCCCUUCCUCCCUUUCUUCCCUUUUGCCUUUUUGUAUGUACUUUAUGAAUAAGGAUCGGCUAACUCCGUGCCAGAAUCCUCUGUAAUACGGAGUAUCCGAUCGUUAUCCGGAUUUAUUGGGUUUAAAGGGAGCGUAGAUGGGUUGUUAAGUCAGUUGUGAAAGUUUGCGGAUCAACCGUAAAAUUGCAAGUGAUACUGGCAGUCUUGAGUACAGUUGAGGUAGGCGGAAUUCGUGGUGUAGCGGUGAAAUGCUUAGAGAUCACGAAGAACUCCGAUUGCGAAGGCAGCUUACUAAACUGCAAAUGACAUUGAUGCUCGAAAGUGGGGGGAUCAAACAGGAUGAGAGAAAAGGGGAGUC
RNAcentral lists this ribosomal RNA (460 nucleotides) under uncultured bacterium. Its description in RNAcentral is "partial 16S ribosomal RNA". It matches the Rfam family "Bacterial small subunit ribosomal RNA", at positions 338 to 795 of the family's 1533-position model. The record is from RNAcentral.